This 355-nucleotide unclassified non-coding RNA is filed under the name Hevea brasiliensis (rubber tree). The record is from RNAcentral. Lineage: Eukaryota; Viridiplantae; Streptophyta; Magnoliopsida; Malpighiales; Euphorbiaceae.
AUGAGAACCAGCUUUGCCUUCCUCAAACCUCAUUAUGGGAGAAGGUAAUCCGAGAUCUAUAUGGAGGGGGACUAGCUGGCCAUUUGAGAAAGAGAUAAGACCAUUUGUAACGGUGAAAGAAAGAUAUUUUUGCCCUCAAUUGCGCAAGGAUGUAACCAGGUUUGUCAUGAAGUGCUUUACUUGUCACACUUCUAAGUGACAAUCUCAAAAUGUUGGUUUAUACAUGCCCUUGCCUGUAACUAAAAAUAUUUGGGAUGAUUUGUCCAUGGAUUUUGUGUUGGGGUUGCCAAGAACACAAAGGGGAAUGGAUUUGGUGUUUGUGGAUGUUGAUAGAUUUUCCAAGAUGGCACAUUUU